UGCUUGCACCGCCUGAUUAGUGGCGAACGGGUGAGUAACACGUGAGUAACCUGCCCUCCACUUCGGGAUAACCUCGGGAAAUCGUGGCUAAUACCGGAUAUGAGCACUCAUCGCAUGGUGGGUGUUGGAAAGAUUUAUCGGUGGGGGAUGGACUCGCGACCUAUCAGUUUGUUGGUGAGGUGAUGGCUCACCAAGACGAUGACGGGUAGCCGGCCUGAGAGGGCGACCGGCCACACUGGGACUGAGACACGGCCCAGACUCCUACGGGAGGCAGCAGUGGGGAAUAUUGCACAAUGGGCGAAAGCCUGAUGCAGCGACGCCGCGUGGGGGAUGACGGCCUUCGGGUUGUAAACCCCUUUCAGUAGGGAAGAAGCGAGAGUGACGGUACCUGCAGAAGAAGCGCCGGCUAACUACGUGCCAGCAGCCGCGGUAAUACGUAGGGCGCAAGCGUUGUCCGGAAUUAUUGGGCGUAAAGAGCUUGUAGGUGGCUUGUCGCGUCUGCCGUGAAAACCCGAGGCUCAACCUCGGGCGUGCGGUGGGUACGGGCAGGCUAGAGUGUGGUAGGGGAGACUGGAACUCCUGGUGUAGCGGUGAAAUGCGCAGAUAUCAGGAAGAACACCGAUGGCGAAGGCAGGUCUCUGGGCCAUUACUGACACUGAGAAGCGAAAGCAUGGGUAGCGAACAGGAUUAGAUACCCUGGUAGUCCAUGCCGUAAACGUUGGGCACUAGGUGUGG
This 735-nucleotide ribosomal RNA is filed under the name Brachybacterium paraconglomeratum. Its description in RNAcentral is "bacterial SSU rRNA". It matches the Rfam family "Bacterial small subunit ribosomal RNA", at positions 77 to 825 of the family's 1533-position model. Lineage: Bacteria; Bacillati; Actinomycetota; Actinomycetes; Micrococcales; Dermabacteraceae. The record is from RNAcentral.